Molecule: ribosomal RNA, 1220 nt
Filed under: Scutopus ventrolineatus
Lineage: Eukaryota; Metazoa; Mollusca; Caudofoveata; Limifossorida; Scutopodidae
Description: large ribosomal RNA subunit RNA
Rfam family: Archaeal large subunit ribosomal RNA (bases 571-1220)
Source: RNAcentral
ACUGUAGCUGAAUGUUCACUAUAGGGAUCUGAAAGAAACAUUGCUUAUUCAAGUAACAAAGAAAGAAAGAGAUAAGAAGUAAACAAAGAAGAGAUUUGAUAUAGCAUUAGUUUAAGAAAGAAAUUAUUGAUAAUUGUACCUUUUGUAUUAUGUUUUAUUGAGAUAGUUAUAUAUAUUAUAUGUUACUCGAAAGUUAAAGAUCUACAAAUAUAAUAUAAGUCGAUGUGGAAAAAUUGUUUAUUUAGGUAUUUAUAGUUGUGAAAUGCAUAACGAGUUAAUUGAUAGCUAGUUUUUUAGGAGAAAAGUAUUGCUUUAUUAGAGGUAUUCUAAUUUGGGUAAUGAGGGUAAUCUUUUUUACUUUGUAUAUAUUAAGAUACGUAUAAUAAGUUAACUGAAAAAAGCUUGUAAGUGGCUGAUUAGGAUAUAUUGUUAUAAAUAGAAGUCUUUUUAGUACGCAAUUUUUUAUAUAGAAAUUAUUUAUUUACUAGAUUUUAAUGAAUAUUUAUUUUUUUGUUAAUGAUUAUGAUAAAAUCAGUAGUAUAAGGGAAUUAAAGGGUUUUUAUUAUGAAUUACGUAGGGGAAAGUGUUUAUAAAGGAAUUAUAUAUUAUGAAUUCGGCAAUACAGGUUCCGACUGUUUAUCAAAAACAUUGUUUUUUGAAGAUAGUAUAAGAAAUAGAGCCUGCUCAAUGAUUUUAAAAUUAAAUAGCCGUGGUAUUUUGACCAUGCUAAGGUAGCAUAAUCAUUUGGUUUUUAAUUGAGAUCUAGAAUGAAGGGUUGAACGAGAACUUUGCUUUAUUAUAUAUAUAUAUAUGAAUUUAUUUUUUAAGUGAAGAAACUUAUAUAAAAUUAAAGGACAAGAAGACCCUAUCGAGCUUGAAGUGUAUUAUAAAAUAUUAUAUUAUAUCUAUUUGGUUGGGGCAACCGGGGAAUUAACUUCCACGAGUAAUAGCAAGAUGUAGUGGGGAAAGAAAUUUUUGUGAAAGAUAAAGUUACCGUAGGGAUAACAGCGUUAUUUUUUUUAGAGUUCAUAUUGGAAAAAAAGAUUGCGACCUCGAUGUUGGAUUAAAGAAACCUUAAGGAGUAGAAGUUUUAUGGGGUAGUCUGUUCGACUAUUAAAUCUUUACAUGAUCUGAGUUCAGACCGGCGUAAGCCAGGUUGGUUUCUAUCCUUGAUUAAAAGGAUUAUAUAAUGUAGUACGAAAGGAUCCUUUAUAGUUUUU